RNAcentral lists this ribosomal RNA (476 nucleotides) under uncultured bacterium. RNAcentral's name for it is "bacterial SSU rRNA". It matches the Rfam family "Bacterial small subunit ribosomal RNA", at positions 1 to 492 of the family's 1533-position model. The record is from RNAcentral.
GCCCUUAGAGUUUGAUCCUGGCUCAGGACGAACGCUGGCGGCGCGCCUAACACAUGCAAGUCGAACGAGAGAUGAGGAGCUUGCUCUUCAAAUCGAGUGGCGAACGGGUGAGUAACGCGUGAGGAACCUGCCUCAAAGAGGGGGACAACAGUUGGAAACGACUGCUAAUACCGCAUAAGCCCACGGCUCGGCAUCGAGCAGAGGGAAAAGGAGCAAUCCGCUUUGAGAUGGCCUCGCGUCCGAUUAGCUAGUUGGUGAGGUAACGGCCCACCAAGGCGACGAUCGGUAGCCGGACUGAGAGGUUGAACGGCCACAUUGGGACUGAGACACGGCCCAGACUCCUACGGGAGGCAGCAGUGGGGAAUAUUGCACAAUGGGGGAAACCCUGAUGCAGCGACGCCGCGUGGAGGAAGAAGGUCUUCGGAUUGUAAACUCCUGUUGUGAGGAAGAUAAAGACGGUACUCAACAAGGAAGCA